GACGAACGCUGGCGGCGUGCUUAACACAUGCAAGUCGAACGGAAAGGCCCUGCUUUUGUGGGGUGCUCGAGUGGCGAACGGGUGAGUAACACGUGAGUAACCUGCCCUUGACUUUGGGAUAACUUCAGGAAACUGGGGCUAAUACCGGAUAGGAGCUCCUGCUGCAUGGUGGGGGUUGGAAAGUUUCGGCGGUUGGGGAUGGACUCGCGGCUUAUCAGCUUGUUGGUUGGGUAGUGGCUUACCAAGGCUUUGACGGGUCGCCGGCCUGUGAGGGUGACCGGCCACAUUGGGACUGAGAUACGGCCCAGACUCCUACGGGAGGCAGCAGUGGGGAAUAUUGCACAAUGGGCGGAAGCCUGAUGCAGAAACGCCGCGUGCGGGAUGACGGCCUUCGGGUUGUAAACCGCUUUCGCCUGUGACGAAGCGUGAGUGACGGUAAUGGGUAAAGAAGCACCGGCUAACUACGUG
RNAcentral lists this ribosomal RNA (468 nucleotides) under uncultured bacterium. RNAcentral describes it as "partial 16S ribosomal RNA". It matches the Rfam family "Bacterial small subunit ribosomal RNA", at positions 28 to 507 of the family's 1533-position model. The record is from RNAcentral.